Long non-coding RNA from Stegodyphus dumicola, 354 nucleotides. The record is from RefSeq and is a predicted model, not a curated record. Lineage: Eukaryota; Metazoa; Arthropoda; Arachnida; Araneae; Eresidae.
AGCUGUGAUCUCUUCAAGAUUUCGGAGCUUAGUGAACACACAAAAUCUUCCUUCCUUCAGGUAUAAGAAGGAUGACAUGCUCACAGAAUUAUCCUAGGAUUUUGCAGUUAAAGACGUUUGCCCAUUACUGCUGCAAUUUGUUUCUUCUGCCAUUCGUAUCAUCGACCUCUACAAGUGCGUCAGCAUUCCGUGCCAUACACCACCACACCCCUGAGGAGAAAACUGCAACUACAACUAUAUCUAUCUGGCUUCUACUAGGGAUUAAAUACAACCACUUCUUUUCCUUCUCAUUACUGUGAAGAAACAAGGGGGAAUGGAAAAUUUCCAACAUUUGUAUUAUAAUGUAUUUUUAAU